Molecule: ribosomal RNA, 451 nt
Filed under: uncultured organism
Description: partial 16S ribosomal RNA
Rfam family: Bacterial small subunit ribosomal RNA
Source: RNAcentral
GUACACUCCUGCGGGAGGCAGCAGUGGGGAAUAUUGGACAAUGGGCGCAAGCCUGAUCCAGCCAUGCCGCGUGAGUGAUGAAGGCCCUAGGGUUGUAAAGCUCUUUCACCGGUGAAGAUAAUGACGGUAACCGGAGAAGAAGCCCCGGCUAACUUCGUGCCAGCAGCCGCGGUAAUACGAAGGGGGCUAGCGUUGUUCGGAUUUACUGGGCGUAAAGCGCACGUAGGCGGACUAUUAAGUCAGGGGUGAAAUCCCGGGGCUCAACCCCGGAACUGCCUUUGAUACUGGUAGUCUUGAGUUCGAGAGAGGUGAGUGGAAUUCCGAGUGUAGAGGUGAAAUUCGUAGAUAUUCGGAGGAACACCAGUGGCGAAGGCGGCUCACUGGCUCGAUACUGACGCUGAGGUGCGAAAGCGUGGGGAGCAAAUAGGAUUAGAAACCCUAGUAGUCCCAU